AACCAGCACCUCAAGUGGUCAGGAUGAUUAUUGGGCCUAAAGCAUCCGUAGCCUGUUCUGUAAGUUUUCGGUUAAAUCUAUGCGCUCAACGUAUAGGCUGCCGAAAAUACUGCAGAACUAGGGAGUGGGAGAGGUAGACGGUACUCGGUAGGAAGGGGUAAAAUCCUUUGAUCUAUUGAUGACCACCUGUGGCGAAGGCGGUCUACCAGAACACGUCCGACGGUGAGGACGAAGCCUAGGGGCACGAACCGG
RNAcentral lists this ribosomal RNA (252 nucleotides) under uncultured archaeon. RNAcentral describes it as "partial 16S ribosomal RNA". It matches the Rfam family "Archaeal small subunit ribosomal RNA", at positions 474 to 727 of the family's 1478-position model. The record is from RNAcentral.